UUUGACAUAAGGGGUAUAAUAUCACUCUCUGAUACCAUCUGACUGGGACCAACGGGCAGACCUGUCCCUCAUCAUAAAGGGAGCUCAGCAACAAGACGGAGGAGUUUAUUACUGUGAUGUAGAGAAGGCCGAGAAACACCGCUCUGCUGUGCGCCUGCGAGUGCGCAAACCACCGGAGUCCUACCACUGGAUAUGGAUCACAAUCAUCAUAACAGCAGCUGUGACAUCUGUGAUUGUUUUUACUCUCAGGUUCUUUUGGGGCUGGAGAGAGAAGACCAAGGGUGUACAUGCAUGAAGAGAGCAGAGGAGACAGUGCCCGAAACAGUCCACUAAAUGACCAAUCAUUUAUAAUCAGGAGGAAAGCACAUCUCUAAAAAUUGCCCUGCCAAGUCUUCUGAUGUUAUACUGCCUGUAAAAAUAAAUAGAAAUAGCUUUUGUAGUGCAUUACUUUUAGUUCCAAAGUCCAAACCCAAACCUUUAUUUCACUGUGUAAUGAAAGUCUUCAUGGCAAAAUAAACAGCAGAUAUCUGCACACUGCUAACUUACAGUAUAAAGAUAAAAGAAUACACACAUACAGAGAUUUCUUUCUGACUUUUGACUUAUUGAUUUAUUUGUGUCUUCUUCUUGGCAGCUCUUCACUUGGUACAGUUGAAGGUCUGUCCUGAGAAAAAGGUAUAGCUUGGUUAUAACAACAGCUAAUAAUCAAUUUUUAUGAUUUCUUCAUUGAUCUGUAAGAGGCUGGAGCUUAUGGUUAAUGAAUGCAACAGUCUGGGUCGAGUAGUUGAAUUUAUUAUCUUUGUGUUGAGGACAAAAGAGUCUUCAGGCCUCCAAGUUACACAUACAUUCUGUCUUUUGCAUCAAGUUCACUUUUAAUAAUUCCACCACGCAGUAAAUCUGUGUGAUUUUGAUGUGUGGCUAACUCAGCUUCUUUUAGAAAUAGUGACUCAGUGGAGUCUGACACUCAGACAAUCAGCCAAUAGAGUUUCUGGUGAAGCUGGAGCCAAAUAACUGCUUUGAAACUGAUUCUUAGAGUCCAGAGUGAACCGUCAGUGUCCUUAAACAAUUUGUUUAUUGCCCACAUGAUAUUUCCUGCAUGUUUGUAGAGUUUGAACAAUAAAUAUAUUCAUUUACAGUGAGCACUUGUCCUGCUCUGUUUUUUAGUCUUUACUCUGUUUACUUUGUUCUUUAUAAAAACUUCAAGAAGCUUCUUGUAAAAUAAAACAUCUUCAAUAAAGCACAGCACUUAGGUUCAUGAAUAUUCCUGUAAAAUUAAUGUCAUAAUCAGUCAAUAAACUGCUCAAAGAAAAUCAGACGGCGCAGCAGGACAACAAACCUAUACACAGACAGAAACAUCUUUAAUGAAAAGGAGAGCAACAACGAGGACGAGACAGACCUCUGACCUGAAGAUGUGGAGUGAGGACUUUACAUCCACUCAUCAUGGGCAUAAAUGUCA
RNAcentral lists this long non-coding RNA (1453 nucleotides) under Oreochromis niloticus (Nile tilapia). RNAcentral describes it as "lncRNA (ENSONIG00000031556.1)". Lineage: Eukaryota; Metazoa; Chordata; Actinopteri; Cichliformes; Cichlidae. The record is from RNAcentral.